This 1176-nucleotide long non-coding RNA is filed under the name Sorghum bicolor (sorghum). Its description in RNAcentral is "long non-coding RNA (SBIC_LNC000504)". Lineage: Eukaryota; Viridiplantae; Streptophyta; Magnoliopsida; Poales; Poaceae. The record is from RNAcentral.
CAAGUCCUGGAUCCCGGCGGCGAGUGCUACUUCAACCCUCAGGAGCAGAUGAAACCAAAUAACGAUGAUCAUUUGUACGAUGCUUGAGUGCCGGAGAUAAAUUGUGUUGUAAAUACUUUGUCCGUGAAGCAUAUGUGUAAAUAUUAUAUUAUGGACCUAUAGAUACAUAUUAUAUAUAUAGUGUUUUAUAGUAUAUUUAUAUGUAAUCCUUUAAAUUAUAUAAAUUAUAGGUGCGUGUUUCAUAAACUACCAGCAAACAAUAUGCAUUCAAAAAUAACAAUAACAUAAUUGUAAACCCUAAAUAGAAAACCAAAUGAAAAGAAAAAGAAAAAAGUCUUUUGUCCCGGUUGGUAGCAACAACCGGGACUAAAAGUGGAGGCCAGGUGGCACACUCUGGCGCACCUUUUAGUCCCGGUUGCUGUAAAGGUGGACCUUUAGUCUCGGUCCACGGAACCGGGACUAAAGGUGGGACAUUUAGUCCCGAAACCUUAGCCCCGGUUACGUAGCCGGGACUAAAGGCACUUACGGCCCGGGGCUAAAGCCCUUCCGUGUACUAGUGUUAGCAAAUAUGCCCGUGCGUUGCUACGGGAGAAUAGCCACGUAGUUGGGAACUGAUAUACUUCUUCCUAGCUCCUUGCCAGCGUCGUCUCCACCACUACUCUCGCUUGCGCACACUGCCUCAUGCACCACUUAGUCGCCGCUCUUUCCAUUGGGCUUCUAGCACCCACAGUUAGCAACUCACACAUAUUACUGCCGCAUCAGCUUCCCACACCACCCUACCCUAACCACAAGGAUCCUGUCAACUACUCCGGCACGACACCCUAACUGCCAGCCCAACGUAAACUACAAUCUCUCACUGCCACAUCAUCUCGGGCACCAUCACCGCCAUGUUGCAACCACUAACCCAAACUCUCUUUUACACCUAUCUGUUGGUGAAUUCUCUCCUAGAACCGUGACCCCAAGUGCUAGGUGGCUCUUCUUCCUCUCACUGGGGGCGCGGAUGCACAAUUAAUCCAUCUGAGUUUAUGCUGGGAAAAAUAAAAAUAUAAAAACCAUGAAAAAACAUAUCAAAUAUAGUUGGGAAAAUAAAAUUAUAAAUAUAUUACAAGCAAACUUGCCUGUGCAUUGCAACAGGAGAAAAAACUAUCAAACAUUAAUGGGAAACAACGAUGGGCA